AGUCCAAUGUUUAUUGAAUUUCUCCGUAACCAGACACUCAAAUUAAACCAAUCCAACACCAGGUAAAUUUCAAGACACGGGGCAACAAAUCUCAUGAAGAGCUCAACACCUAAUCUUGCCAUUAUGGUGGUCAAAACAGUCACUCAAUCUAUUGCUGCAUGUGGUACGUUACAACAGAGUCAGUUUAGGUGUUUUAGUCAUAAGUUGAGCUAUAUAUAUCAAAAUUGGACACAAGAGGAUGGGUUGGAAAGCUAAGAAGUAUACCUACAACUUUUAUGAAGGGCUCAAAUACAGAGGGAAAAUAAAACGAAUAGAAAAACAGUCCUUAAACACACCCAUUAACAUUUUGUCCUAAUUUCAGCUUACUUAAAUCAUAUACAAGGUAGAGAUUUCUACCACAUACUCACUACUCAUCAAAUAUCAUCUUAAGAUCACAAAUCCUCAAAGAAUAACAAGAAAACUUAAGGCCUUAUUCAUCAAUAGGUUCUGCCACUCUUGGAGGAUGAAGAAGAAAAUGUUUUCCUCAUCAAUUCAACAUAUAAGCAUGCUUAGAAAUCUCCCAAGAACACAUGUAUACCACCAAAAUUCAAUAAUCAAAUUAUUUCAUAUAAAAUUUCCAAUUUUCACAAAAUAGUAUAAACUUCACAAAAUCAAAAAUUN
Molecule: long non-coding RNA, 660 nt
Filed under: Jatropha curcas
Lineage: Eukaryota; Viridiplantae; Streptophyta; Magnoliopsida; Malpighiales; Euphorbiaceae
Description: long non-coding RNA (JCUR_LNC002474)
Source: RNAcentral